CUUCAUUUGUGCACUUUUCCAUCUUUUCUUGAGUCCAACUCCUUCCUACUUCAGCUUCCUUCAUUCAGUUCAUGUUAAAUCCUGCAAAAACAAGGAAAACCAAGCAUAAAACCAAGAAAAUAAACCUUUGACUCUCUUAUUUUCUAACUUAAGCAAAAUGCAUGAUUUCAUGCUAGUUUCUAAGUCAUAAAGGGUGUGUUUAGUGUCAACUUUAAGUAUAAAAAUAACGGUUUUUGAAUCGUUAUUGUUGAGAUUGUUGACAAUACAAUUUCUAUAUCAAUCUAGUUUUUUAUGAUGACGACACAUUGCUUAAUAACAUACACAUGUUGUUACUGAAUUACAUGCUCUUAUGCUGAUUGAUUGUCAUAUCUGUUGAACAUGUUACUCAAUUAAGGCUUUCCCAAUUUUGUGGUUUUCAAUGUUGCAAGGAAUAGUAAAACUUCAUGGGUCUUCUAUCUUUGAAGGAAGUGUCCUCUGCAAGAUCACGCUGCAAUCCCCUUGUUUCUCAAUUGUCUCUUCUUUUAAAUUUUUCUUUUUGAGGAGCCUCUUCAAAAAUUUCUUGUAUUCAGGGAUCUGUUGCAGGGCCUCUAUCACAGGAAUUUGUAUCCCCAAAUCUCUGGAGAUCUCUUCAAAACACCUUGCUUGCAUCUCUUUUGUGUCAUGUUCCUCAGGGUGGUGAACAUUUUUCUCACUUUUUUCAAUUUUUUCUUUUUCUUCUUUUUUUCUCUCAACCUCUUCUUUUCUCUCAAUCUCACUCUUUUCUUCACUCUGAAUUUUUUUUCUCUUUUCCCUCUUUUCUCUCUAGAUCACUUAAUCUUUCUUUUUCUCUUUUUCUCUCAAAUUUUUCUUCUUUCUUACUCUCUUUUUCUUUUCUCUCUGUUUCUCUCUCAUUUUCCAUGCUUGUUAUAGCCUUACAUUCCUC
This 922-nucleotide long non-coding RNA is filed under the name Vigna radiata. RNAcentral's name for it is "long non-coding RNA (VRAD_LNC015476)". The record is from RNAcentral. Lineage: Eukaryota; Viridiplantae; Streptophyta; Magnoliopsida; Fabales; Fabaceae.